GCAAGCAGUGCUGUGUGGGCUUUGCUUGUAAGCGGAGUGAAUCCAAUGUUUUGGUGUUUCCGAAUCUUAUUUGUGUCUGUUUUGUGUGUACUGACAAGUGAAUGUGCAUGAGACUUGCGGGUAGCCUAAUAUUUUAAUUUUCCAGGCACUAAGAAGACAAAGACCACAUCAUUUCAGUUUCAGUAUCGGCCCUCUAUGGACGGUCUACAUGGACAUGUGCCCUAGCUCUCAGUAGGACCCCUUCUGAUCACGGUGCACGGAUCUCAGGAAGUGAUGUGAAGGACUACACUAUCAGACACCGAACGAGCC
Cryptotermes secundus is the source of this 309-nucleotide long non-coding RNA. RefSeq lists it as uncharacterized. The transcript is spliced from 3 exons. The record is from RefSeq and is a predicted model, not a curated record. NCBI's taxonomy places the organism in Eukaryota, Metazoa, Arthropoda, Insecta, Blattodea, Kalotermitidae.